UUAGAGUUUGAUCCUGGCUCAGAUUGAACGCUGGCGGCAGGCUUAACACAUGCAAGUCGAGCGGAGAUGAGGUGCUUGCACCUUAUCUUAGCGGCGGACGGGUGAGUAAUGCUUAGGAAUCUGCCUAUUAGUGGGGGACAACAUUCCGAAAGGGAUGCUAAUACCGCAUACGUCCUACGGGAGAAAGCAGGGGAUCUUCGGACCUUGCGCUAAUAGAUGAGCCUAAGUCGGAUUAGCUAGUUGGUGGGGUAAAGGCCUACCAAGGCGACGAUCUGUAGCGGGUCUGAGAGGAUGAUCCGCCACACUGGGACUGAGACACGGCCCAGACUCCUACGGGAGGCAGCAGUGGGGAAUAUUGGACAAUGGGGGGAACCCUGAUCCAGCCAUGCCGCGUGUGUGAAGAAGGCCUUAUGGUUGUAAAGCACUUUAAGCGAGGAGGAGGCUACUGAGACUAAUACUCUUGGAUAGUGGACGUUACUCGCAGAAUAAGCACCGGCUAACUCUGAGCCAGCAGCCGCGGUAAUACAGAGGGUGCGAGCGUUAAUCGGAUUUACUGGGCGUAAAGCGUGCGUAGGCGGCUUUUUAAGUCGGAUGUGAAAUCCCCGAGCUCAACUUGGGAAUUGCAUUCGAUACUGGGAAGCUAGAGUAUGGGAGAGGAUGGUAGAAUUCCAGGUGUAGCGGUGAAAUGCGUAGAGAUCUGGAGGAAUACCGAUGGCGAAGGCAGCCAUCUGGCCUAUACUGACGCUGAGGUACGAAAGCAUGGGGAGCAAACAGGAUUAGAUACCCUGGUAGUCCAUGCCGUAAACGGUGUCUACUAGCCGUUGGGGCCUUUGAGGCU
Molecule: ribosomal RNA, 838 nt
Filed under: uncultured bacterium
Lineage: Bacteria
Description: bacterial SSU rRNA
Rfam family: Bacterial small subunit ribosomal RNA
Source: RNAcentral